RNAcentral lists this unclassified non-coding RNA (208 nucleotides) under Hevea brasiliensis (rubber tree). The record is from RNAcentral. Lineage: Eukaryota; Viridiplantae; Streptophyta; Magnoliopsida; Malpighiales; Euphorbiaceae.
GUGUCUUUUCACCUUGUUGUGAAUGCACCCAUUUGCAUCUGAUUCUUCCUUUCACGAAGUGUUUGCAAUAGAAAAAUGCUUGGAAGCAAUACUGCUAAGAUAGUUGAUAAAAAACUUGUAUGUGCGGUUUUAUGAGGAAUGAUAUGUACACUCAUAAACUAUUGUAAUAGUUAUCUUACAAUAGUUAUUUGAUCUUAAAUUUGGGAAU